UCAGCAUUAAGAUGGUGAGUUCAUAAGUAUUUUAGUGUCGGUGUUUGUUAUCAAAACGUUUGAACCUGUCGCAAGUAUAAGUUGUAAAAUGUAUGUAAGUGUUUGUAAAAGUUUGAAUCUCUCAGAAAAACCUAUAUUUUCUAUUAAAGUAGCCUUCUACCAAGGCUUAACUGUUUUGUAUGCUCGUUUGUUGUAAAAGUGUGUAAUUUCCCAAGUGUAACUAUCAUUUAACAAAAUAUAGUUUGUACAUUAAUGUUUAAGUGAAAUAAUCACUAAAAAUAUGUAAUGGGUAAAUCAUUGUAGUACUGUAGUUUUGUAUUAUAGGAACUACUGCUGUACUAACUACCUUAAACCGGAUUUAUAUUAAGGUAUUAUGUGAUAAAUUGCACCAUACUAUAGACUGGUAACAACGACAACGUAUAAUCGAAAAUAAGAUAUGACGUUUGGCACCUGCAGACCUCUCGGUCCUGCUGUAGCUAGCAGCAAGGUGUAGCAUAGUCAAUCCAAUAUAGAUCUAUACACAAACUCACGCUCUCCCUCCAAGAGACUCUGGCUAGAACUCGGGUCAUGACAAUUAAGGCAUGAUCCCAUACAGUGGAUCACAAUUGUUAACGUAUUCAUGUAUAUGUAAUGUAAUGUUACUUGUUCUAGUAUCGUUGUAUAUGUUCUAGUCCUAGUACAGUUGUAUAUGUACUCUUAGUAAUAAGUAUUGACUCAUGAAUGAACUGACUCGUUGAUCUAGAAAUUGUAGUAGUAUGAUCUUGUGUUACCCCGAUGGUAACUUACUAAUGAUGUACUGAUACGUAUGAAUAAAGGAGUACUUUUAUGUCUAUAUAUGUACAUUUGAUAUUUAAUUAAUGUUUAAACGACCCUCAGAGGGCUACCCGAAAUCCCACCAGACCACAUCUCAAGCGCGAAAAGGAAAUAGGGCGGAUGGCCUUCCUAAGCCCUUUAAACAUUUCUUAUAUAUCUAUACAUAUAUGGGCAUGCAAUUUAUAAGAAGUAUAAUAAAGUUUAAAUAAGUGUAUUUAAUAAGAAAGGAGUUUGUAAAACAGUUUGAAGAAAACAGUUUGAUAAAUAGUUUGAACAGUGAUAAAAUCAUUGGUUUCCUAGUUAUUAAUCACAUGUGAUUGAUUUCAAUAACUAUAAGAAUUGAACUUGUAUCCCCCCCAUAAAGUAUUUAAAACAUUUAAAAGUAUUUCAAAGGUUAAUUAAAUGGGUAUGAACUCACUUGUGGUGAGCGGUUUGGAUUGUAGUGUCGGAUACCGUGCUAGGUGGCAAACGGAGACUUGUUCACACGCACGAGCCUAGUUAUCAUAUAAUGAGCAUAUAUAUAACUAAUUAGCCAAAUAAUAACUUAAUGAAAUAAGUUGGGACACUCAGGAACAUGUAAACACUUUGUAUAAGUGUUAUAGGUCCUAAUGGUUGCAUCUAAGUUGCUACGGGACAAGGCUAAAGGGGUUUAAUGCACCAAAUGACCUUGUAUAUGAGUUUACCACCCAAAAAACCCCACCUUUGGAGUUUACGGUCGUAAACCCUUGAGUUUACGGCCGUGAACUCUUGACUUGGUGGUUUUGGGUGUUUUGAAGUGUUAAAUGAAUUCUAGAAUAAGCCUAGCAUUGGUGGUUUAAUCCUUUAGGUAGUUUAGGGCCUUAGAAUGCUCCUUUGAGGAGUUUACGGCCUAAAGACCAUAUCCCCUAGAGUUUACGGCCGUAAACUCCUAUGGGGUGGGUGUUUUAAUUCUUUUAAGCCUCUUGCACACAAAGGAUAAAUCCUAGACUUUUGUUUAAGGCUAAAGGGGACUUUAGGCACACUUUGGUGCCUUUACUUGGAGUUUACGGCCCAAGAGUAUUUCUUGGCCGUAAACUCCCCUUUAGGGAUGAUUUUGAUGUAAUUUACUCCCCAUUCAAGCUACAAGUAAUAGAGGGUUAUUGUCUAAAGCCUUAAGGGGUGUUUAGGGCACUUUAAGCCCUUGAAAAAGGGUGUUUACAGUCUAAGAAACUCUUGGGCCGUAAACUCCAAAAGCUAAGUGUUCUUGAUUGUGUUCUAGCCUUAAAAGAUCAUACAUAAUGUCCUUAACUAGUUACCUAACAAGGAAAUGGGACUAGGUAGCUCUUAGGCUUCGUUUUGGAGUUUACUCCCCAAGAACGUUCUUGGGCGGUAAACUCCCGGAUCUUACAAAUUUGACAUGUAAACUAUGUUAUUAAGCAUAUAACAUGCAUUAAAACACAACUAGGAAAGUAGACUCACGAUUUGGGAUGAAAACCCGAAGAUCCGUGAGAGAGAAAUUGGCUUUUCUCUAGUUGGAAAUGUGAAUAAUGAAAUAUUUAGUUCAGAAAUCUAUUUAUAGUCCUGAAAUAUUUUGGCAGAAAAUAUUUUAUUCUGGAAUUGGACUCUAACAUGAUGAAGUGUUGAAAUGCUCAAGUUUCACAAACCCAUGAGCAUCCACUCUCCUGAUAUCUCCUUAAAUGUAAACCCUAAUGUACACAAACUUAUUCGGAAAGUCUGAAGUUCAUUGAAACAGGACUAACUUCUACCGAAUAGUUAAUGUUCGUACAAAAUGGAAAUUUCGGGUUGUCACAUCAUCCCCCCGUUAGAAGGAAUUUCGUCCCGAAAUUAGAAUUUAAGCAAACAAGAAGUUACAAACAAUUAAGCGAAAAGAUGAGGGUAUUUCAGUUUCAUCUGAUCCUCGCGUUCCCAAGUGAAUUCCGGUCCUCGCUUGGCGUUCCAGCGAACCUUCACGAUAGGGAUACGGCUUUGCUUCGUCUGCUUGACCUCACGGUCCAUGAUCUCUACAGGUUCUUCCACGAAGUUGAGGCUCUCGUUGAUCUCGAUCUCGUCGAGUGGGAUUACAAGAGUCUCGUCGGACAGACACUUUUUCAAGUUAGAUACGUGGAAUGUAGAAUGUACGUUACGAAGUGCGUCGGGUAGGUCGAGUUUGUAAGCUACGGGGCCGACUCUUGCAAGAAUCUCAAAAGGCCCUAUGUACCUCGGAUUAAGCUUCCCAGGCUUUCCAAAGCGUAUCAAGCCCUUCCACGGUGAGACUUUGAGAAGGACUCGGUCUCCCACUUGAAAUUCCAAAGGUUUUCUCCGUUUAUCAGCGUAGCUCUUUUGUCGGUCUCUAGAGGCUUUUAAUCGUUCACGGAUCUGAACGAUUUUCUCUGUCGUUUCCCGAAUGAUCUCCGGACCGGUGAGAGUACUGUCGGAAGCUUGCCCCCUGGCUAAUUGGGUAUCACCCACCUCAGCCCAGCACAGAGGGGAUCUGCACUUACGGCCGUAGAGAGCUUCAAAUGGAGCAGCCUUGAUGCUCGUGUGAUAACUGUUAUUAUAGGAAAACUCGACAAGGGGUAAAUGAGUAUCCCAUGCCUUCCCAAAGUCAAUCACGCAGGCUCGCAACAUAUCUUCUAGAGUUUGGAUGGUCCUCUCACUCUGUCCGUCGGUCUGAGGAUGGUAGGCUGUGCUCAUGUCCAGCCUUGUUCCUAGGGAAUGUUGUAGUGAUUGCCAAAAUCUUGAGGUGAACCUACUAUCUCUAUCGGAGAUAAUGGACAUAGGUACACCAUGUAGCCGUACGAUUUCCCUAAUGUAUGUUCUCGUAAGUUUCUCCAUCUUGUCGGUUUCUUUGAUAGGCAGGAAGUGUGCAGACUUGGUCAAUCUAUCAACGAUGACCCAUAUGGUGUCAAGUCCACCCGUUGUCUUGGGCAACUUGGUUAUGAAAUCCAUAGUGAUCCGCUCCCACUUCCAUUCUGGGAUCUCUGGUUGUUGCAGUAAACCAGAGGGCUUCUGGUACUCGACCUUAACCUUUGCGCAAGUAAGGCAUUUACUUACGAAGGUAGCAAUCUCUGCUUUCAUAUUAGGCCACCAGUAUAGCUUUUUAAGAUCCAGAUACAUCUUAUCUGAACCUGGGUGGACGGAAUACCGAGUGUUGUGCGCCUCGGUCAUGACCAAGUCUCGGAAACCACCGUGUUUCGGUGUCCAGAUCCGGUUCAUGAAAUAUAAGGCUCCGUCACCCUUGGCUUCUAAAUUCUUGUCCAUUCCUCUAAGGGAUUCACUCGUCACAUUUUCAGGUUUCAUGGCUUCAAGUUGAGCCGCCUGAAUUUGCUUAGACAAGUGUGAAUGGAUGGUUAUUGAUAAUGACUUGACUUUGCGACCAGAAUAUUCCUUCCGACUUAGGGCGUCUGCUACUACGUUGGCUUUACCCGGAUGAUAACGAAUAUCGCAUUCGUAAUCACUGAGUAGCUCGACCCACCGUCGUUGUCUCAUGUUGAGCUCCUUCUGAUCGAAAAUGUGUUGUAAACUCUUGUGGUCGGUAAAGAUAGUGCUUUUCGUUCCGUACAAGUAAUGUCUCCAGAUCUUCAGAGCAAACACCACUGCUCCCAGUUCAAGAUCAUGUGUCGUGUAGUUAACCUCGUGUGUCUUCAACUGUCUCGAGGCGUAGGCGAUGACCUUACCUCGCUGCAUCAGAACACACCCGAGCCCUUGAUUCGAUGCAUCGCAAUAGACUACGCAGUCUUCUAUCCCUUCAGGAAGGGAUAGUACUGGCGCGGUGCACAAGGCUCGUUUGAGCGUUUGGAACGCUCUCUCUUGUUUCUCUUCCCAGUCAAAGGCCACGCCUUUCUGGGUCAGGGUUGUAAGGGGUUUCGCUAUUCGGGAGAAGUUCUGAAUGAAUCUGCGGUAGUAGCCAGCGAGGCCUAGAAAUUGACGAAUUUCAGUAGGCGUCUUGGGUGCUGACCAGUUCUCAAUGGCUUUAAUUUUGGAUGGGUCCACAUGGAUUCCCUCUUCACUUACCACGUGUCCUAAGAAUUCGACUCUUCAGAUCCAAAAUUCACAUUUCGAGAACUUCGCAUAAAGUUUCUCCUUUCGUAAUGUCGCUAGAACUUGUUGCAGGUGAUCGCCAUACUCUUCCUUACUUCAGGAGUAGAUCAGGAUGUCGUCAAUGAAAACGAUGACGAACUGAUCCAAGUAAGGUCGGCAUACUCUAUUCAUCAGAUCCAUGAAGACUGCGGGCACAUUGGUCAAUCUGAAUGGCAUCACCACGAACUCGUAGUGUCCGUAACGAGUUCGGAAGGCUGUCUUCGGCACAUCCUCCUCUAGCACUCGUAACUGGUGAUAUCCGGAUCUUAGAUCAAUUUUGGAAAAAUAGUUUGCCCCUUGCAGUUGGUCAAAUAGAUCGUCUAUGCGAGGCAGAGGGUAACGAUUCUUGACCGUCAGUUUGUUGAGUUCUCUGUAGUCAAUACACAUACGGAAUGAUCCGUCUUUCUUCUUAACGAACAAGACCGGUGCUCCCCAAGGUGAGAAACUUGGUCUUAUAAAGCCCUUGCUGAGCAGUUCGUUAAGUUGACCAGAGAGUUCCUGCAUCUCAGCUGGUGCUAAGCGGUAGGGCGACUUGGCUACUGGGGUAGCUCCUGGGACUAAGUCGAUUCUGAACUCGACCUGUCGUUGCGGAGGUAAUCCAGGUAGCUCUUCUGGGAAAAUGUCGGGGAAGUCGCUCACUACUGGGAUGUUCUUUAGUUCUUUCGUUUCGAGGCUCGUAUCGACGACGUGAGCAAGGAAUGCAUGGUAUUCUUUACGCAGAUACUUCUGUGCUUGAAUACUUGAUAUAAUACGAAGACUCGCACCGGGUUUGUCGCCGUAGACGAUAAGAGUUUCGUUAGACGGAAGGUUUAGACGGACUGCUUUCUCGUAGCACAUGAUGUCGGCGCGAUGAAGACUUAACCAAUCCAUGCCAAUGAUAACGUCGAAGCUUUUUAUUGAGACCGGCAUGAGGUCGAUUGGGAAUGAAUGGUUAUCUAGAGUUAGGGUACAACCUAAGUAUAUGCUAUUCGUACUUUCAGUUUUCCCAUUAGCCAUUUCUACUGUGAAUUGUUCCUUAAGUGUGUGUGGUUGUUGUUUAAGCAUGCGAGCAAAUUUAUGGUUUACGAAGCUUCGCUCCGCUCCACUAUCAAACAGAAUGCAUGCAUAGGAGUUAUCGAGGAGGAACGUACCAGUCACCACUGUCGGGUCAGCAACUGCUUCCCCGUGGCCUAUAGCUAGUACCCUCCCUGCUGCACCAACAUUCUUUGCUUUGGGGAAGUCCCUCUUAUAGUGGCCUGCUUCGUCACAUCCAUAGCAGGUCGGGCUCACGCCAGAGCCGGGGACUUGGGNNNNNNNNNNNNNNNNNNNNNNNNNNNNNNNNNNNNNNNNNNNNNNNNNNNNNNNNNNNNNNNNNNNNNNNNNNNNNNNNNNNNNNNNNNNNNNNNNNNNUUGUAAGCAACGUGAGAGUGACACAUGGACUAACUAACCAUAGACUAACAGUUGAAUGAGUGUUUGAGAUCACAUCAAGGAAUAUUCGUAGGAAAACACAAAUGUACAUAUUUUUCCCACAGAUUAGUUAGAUGUCAAUAAUACUGGUAUUACUGAUGUAAUAAGUUCAGGGAAAAUUGACCUAACAGUAGGUCUUACAUCAUACCAUACAUAAAAGUUUGACAGUUCUUAGAUUCCUAAUUAGAGUACUGAAAGUUAGGAAUAUUUUACAGACAAGUGCUACUUAGAGCACAGAUGUUAAAGGCUAUUCCUUAACCAAAGGACAGAGAUGUACUAGACAUCAUCUAACGGCGAUAGGAAUUCCUCGGGCGAGCCCUGAGGUCUGACACUUGACGAAACACCUCUUGAAGGUGUCGCUCCUGAGCCCUCUGGCGGGCUCGAAGUUCCAAGACUUCAGCUCGGGAGGCAGCCAGCUGUUGCUGUAGGGUUUCAUUGGUUCUCCGGGUCCGUUCCAUGUCUUCCUCAAGACGGCGGAUGCGGACUGUGUUGACACCUGAGUUGGCAUCAAUAUCCAUGACCCGGUCGAUGGCUGCUCGACCUUGCUCGACAUUACGAGCUAUUCUGCGGAUAAUGACAGGCAGAGCUCGGUCAGCAGAGCCACCAUCGCUGACGUUGUAAAAGCUUCGGUCCCCAAAGUAUGGUAAGGGUUGACCCUGUUCAUCACUCCAGCGAUUCAAGUUGUUUGCCCACAAGGGAGUAGGACCUGGAAAAGCUGGUCGAGGGUUGUUGUUCGGGGCUUGACCUACGAGCGGUAGGUUGUUGACUUCAGGCUCGGAGUCGGAUCCAUCAGAAAAGCCUUCUGCGAGGUGAUCAUCCAAAGGGAUUGGAUGCUCAUCUUCGGGCUCUUCUUCGAUCCACCCAGCAUUGCCUUCAUUUGGAAAGUACGGGUCGCCAUGAUGGAAUCCAGCCAUUUAGAUCUACGCGAGAAGAGAGGUAUAAGAAUAUAGUAUACGUGUAACUAGUAGUACAAAAUACACCUAUAGUAUUUUAAGUUUAAGUUCUACUGAUCUUCUUGUGGUAUUGUUGGUAAGUUUUUAGACUUGUUAACAUAUCACAACCAUUCUAGGGCAUAUGCUAAUCACUCCUAGGACCAGCAUAGUUGAUCAGGCUAUGCCAUUCCCAGGACUGACCAUACAUCCCCGAGCUCACUUGUGAUAUUUAACAAUCGUAAUACUUUUGUUCUUGUCAUUGUGACACUGAUUUUAGUAUGAAUGCAGACUAGUAUACUUAAUUAAAUAUUUUAAUAUUUAAAGUAUAGACUCUUGGUCAGAGUGUUUUAAUCCCUAAUGGGUUUAUAGUUUAGUAUAUCUUUUAUGGGUUGAUAUACUUGAUUCACUAUAAACAAUGCUCUGAUACCAAUCUGUCACACCCCAAAACCAAGAACGGCGGAAACGUUCUGGGGCGGAGGACGUCAUGUAAAGUAUCACAACACAGUAAAUGUAAAUAAGCAAACAACAUCAUCCAUUGCAUUAAAUAUAUAAUUUUAAUACAAGCGUGUUCUGUACAGUUUUAGACACCAAAAAUAUAAUGUAAAUCAAAAUAAUAAGAUGAGUCUUGAAUGCGCUCCAUCUUCUCAAAAGCUGGCCUCGGUACCUGUCUACUGAUGACCUGAGAAUACAAGUUAUUUUGAAAGAGUUUAUCAGCAUUAAGCUGGUGAGUUCAUAAGUAUUUUAGUGUCGAUGUUUGUUAUCAAAAACGUUUGAACCUGUCUCAAUGUAUAAGUUUGUAAAAGGUAAGUAAGUGUUUGUAAAAGUUUGAAUCUCUCAGAAAAACCUAUAUUUUCUAUUAAAGUAGCCUUCUACCAAGGCUUAACUGUUUUGUAUGCUCGUUUGUUGUAAAAGUGUGUAAUUUCCCAAGUGUAACUAUCAUUUAACAAAAUAUAGUUUGUACAUUAAUGUUUAAGUGAAAUAAUCACUAAAAAUAUGUAAUGGGUAAAUCAUUGUAGUACUGUAGUUUUGUAUUAUAGGAACUACUGCUGUACUAACUACCUUAAACCGGAUUUAUAUUAAGGUAUUAUGUGAUAAAUUGCACCAUACUAUAGACUGGUAACAACGACAACGUAUAGUCGAAAAUAAGAUAUGACGUUUGGCACCUGCAGACCUGCCGGUCCUGCUGUAGCUAGCAGCAAGGUGUAGGAUAGUCAAUCCAGUAUAGAUCUAUACGCAAACUCACGCUCUCCCUCCAAGAGACUCUGGCUACAACUCGGGUCAUGACAAUUAAGGCAUGAUCCCAUACAGUGGAUCACAAUUGUUAACGUAUUCAUGUAUAUGUAAUGUAAUGUUACUUGUUCUAGUAUCGUUGUAUAUGUUCUAGUCCUAGUACAGUUGUAUAUGUACUCUUAGUAAUAAGUAUUGACUCAUGAAUGAACUGACUCGUUGAUCUAGAAAUUGUAGUAGUAUGAUCCUGUGUUACCCCGAUGGUAACUUACUAAUGAUGUACUGAUACGUAUGAAUAAAGGAGUACUUUUAUGUCUAUAUAUG
This 8780-nucleotide long non-coding RNA is filed under the name Lactuca sativa (garden lettuce). RNAcentral describes it as "long non-coding RNA (LSAT_LNC002717)". The record is from RNAcentral. Lineage: Eukaryota; Viridiplantae; Streptophyta; Magnoliopsida; Asterales; Asteraceae.